ACGUAGGGUGCGAGCGUUAAUCGGAAUUACUGGGCGUAAAGCGUGCGCAGGCGGUUUUGUAAGACAGUGGUGAAAUCCCCGGGCUCAACCUGGGAACUGCCAUUGUGACUGCAAGGCUGGAGUGCGGAAGAGGGGGAUGGAAUUCCGGGUGUGGCAGUGAAAGCCGUAGAUAUUAGGAGGAACACCGGUGGCGAAGGCAGCCACCUGGGCCUGCUCCGAUGGUGAGGCACGAAAGCGGGGGGAGCAAACAG
RNAcentral lists this ribosomal RNA (251 nucleotides) under uncultured prokaryote. RNAcentral's name for it is "partial 16S rRNA". It matches the Rfam family "Bacterial small subunit ribosomal RNA", at positions 525 to 775 of the family's 1533-position model. The record is from RNAcentral.